GACGAACGCUGGCGGCGUGCUUAACACAUGCAAGUCGAACGGAAAGGCCCUGCUUUUGUGGGGUGCUCGAGUGGCGAACGGGUGAGUAACACGUGAGUAACCUGCCCUUGACUUUGGGAUAACUUCAGGAAACUGGGGCUAAUACCGGAUAGGAGCUCCUGCUGCAUGGUGGGGGUUGGAAAGUUUCGGCGGUUGGGGAUGGACUCGCGGCUUAUCAGCUUGUUGGUGGGGUAGUGGCUUACCAAGGCUUUGACGGGUAGCCGGCCUGAGAGGGUGACCGGGCCAAUGUGGACUGGGAAAACGCCCCGGACCCCACGGGGGGGCAGAGGGGGGGAUAUUGCAAAAAGGGGGGAAGGCCGAUGCCGGCACCCCGCGUGGGGGAUGGAGGCCCUUGGGUUUUAAACCCCUUUCGCCCGUGGAGAAGGGGGGGGGGACGGAAAUGGGAAAAAAAGCCCCGCCAAACUCGUU
RNAcentral lists this ribosomal RNA (468 nucleotides) under uncultured bacterium. Its description in RNAcentral is "partial 16S ribosomal RNA". It matches the Rfam family "Bacterial small subunit ribosomal RNA", at positions 28 to 506 of the family's 1533-position model. The record is from RNAcentral.